Molecule: ribosomal RNA, 374 nt
Filed under: Veillonellaceae bacterium oral taxon 145
Lineage: Bacteria; Bacillati; Bacillota; Negativicutes; Veillonellales; Veillonellaceae
Description: bacterial SSU rRNA
Rfam family: Bacterial small subunit ribosomal RNA
Source: RNAcentral
GACGAACGCUGGCGGCGUGCUUAACACAUGCAAGUCGAACGGAGCUAUUUAUUUCGGUAGAUAGCUUAGUGGCAAACGGGUGAGUAACGCGUAGGCAACCUGCCCUCAGGAUGGGGACAACGGCUCGAAAGAGCCGCUAAUACCGAAUGACGUAACUUUUUCACAUGGAAGAGAUACUAAAGAUGGGUCAAACCAUCGCCUGAGGAUGGGCCUGCGUCUGAUUAGCCAGUUGGUGAGGUAACGGCUCACCAAAGCAACGAUCAGUAGCCGGUCUGAGAGGAUGAAACGGCCACAAUGGGACUGAGACACGGGCCCAUACUUCCUACCGGGAGGGCAAGCAGUGGGGGAAUCUUUCCCGCAAUGGGCGAAAAGCC